Acanthosepion pharaonis is the source of this 109-nucleotide non-coding RNA. NCBI's taxonomy places the organism in Eukaryota, Metazoa, Mollusca, Cephalopoda, Sepiida, Sepiidae. The record is from the annotation of a GenBank genome assembly.
UGGCUAUAUCAUAUUGACACAUUGGUUCUCGUACAAUUACCAAAGUUAAGCACCAUCGAGCCUGGUCAGUACUGCGAUGGGUGACUGCUUUGGAAUACCAAAUGAUGUA